UGGGGAAUAUUGGACAAUGGGCGAAAGCCUGAUCCAGCCAUGCCGCGUGUGUGAAGAAGGUCUUCGGAUUGUAAAGCACUUUAAGUUGGGAGGAAGGGCAUUAACCUAAUACGUUAGUGUUUUGACGUUACCGACAGAAUAAGCACCGGCUAACUCUGUGCCAGCAGCCGCGGUAAUACAGAGGGUGCACGCGUUAAUCGGAAUUACUGGGCGUAAAGCGCGCGUAGGUGGUUUGUUAAGUUGGAUGUGAAAUCCCCGGGCUCAACCUGGGAACUGCAUUCAAAACUGACUGACUAGAGUAUGGUAGAGGGUGGUGGAAUUUCCUGUGUAGCGGUGAAAUGCGUAGAUAUAGGAAGGAACACCAGUGGCGAAGGCGACCACCUGGACUAAUACUGACACUGAGGUGCGAAAGCGUGGGGAGCAAACA
RNAcentral lists this ribosomal RNA (427 nucleotides) under uncultured bacterium. RNAcentral's name for it is "partial 16S ribosomal RNA". It matches the Rfam family "Bacterial small subunit ribosomal RNA", at positions 355 to 774 of the family's 1533-position model. The record is from RNAcentral.